This 287-nucleotide ribosomal RNA is filed under the name uncultured bacterium. RNAcentral's name for it is "partial 16S ribosomal RNA". It matches the Rfam family "Bacterial small subunit ribosomal RNA", at positions 773 to 1060 of the family's 1533-position model. The record is from RNAcentral.
GUGGAUUAGAUACCCGGGUAGUCCAUGCCGUAAACGUUGGGCGCUAGGUGUGGGGCUCAUUCCACGAGUUCCGUGCCGCAGCUAACGCAUUAAGCGCCCCGCCUGGGGAGUACGGCCGCAAGGCUAAAACUCAAGGGAAUUGACGGGGGCCCGCACAAGCGGCGGAGCAUGCGGAUUAAUUCGAUGCAACGCGAAGAACCUUACCAAGGCUUGACAUACACCGGAAACAUGCAGAGAUGUGUGCCCCGCAAGGCUGGUGGACAGGUGGUGCACGGUCGUCGACAGCU